RNAcentral lists this signal recognition particle RNA (97 nucleotides) under Ectothiorhodospiraceae bacterium AqS1. RNAcentral describes it as "Bacterial small signal recognition particle RNA". It matches the Rfam family "Bacterial small signal recognition particle RNA". Rfam says of the family: The signal recognition particle (SRP) is a universally conserved ribonucleoprotein involved in the co-translational targeting of proteins to membranes. RNAcentral also lists the same sequence under 1 other name. The record is from Rfam by way of RNAcentral. Lineage: Bacteria; Pseudomonadati; Pseudomonadota; Gammaproteobacteria; Chromatiales; Ectothiorhodospiraceae.
UAUCGGUCCCCUCGCAUCGUCAGGUCGUAAACCCCGUCAGGCCCGGAAGGGAGCAGCGGUAGCGACUGGUACGGGUGCCGGGGUGUGGCUGAUGCGG